Molecule: ribosomal RNA, 301 nt
Filed under: uncultured bacterium
Lineage: Bacteria
Description: partial 16S ribosomal RNA
Rfam family: Bacterial small subunit ribosomal RNA
Source: RNAcentral
CAGCAGCCGCGGGAAUACGUAGGGUGCAAGCGUUAAUCGGAAUUACUGGGCGUAAAGCGUGCGCAGGCGGUUUGUUAAGACAGAUGUGAAAUCCCCGGGCUCAACCUGGGAACUGCAUUUGUGACUGGCAAGCUAGAGUAUGGCAGAGGGGGGUGGAAUUCCGCGUGUAGCAGUGAAAUGCGUAGAUAUGCGGAGGAACACCGAUGGCGAAGGCAGCCCCCUGGGCCAAUACUGACGCUCAUGCACGAAAGCGUGGGGAGCAAACAGGAUUAGAUACCCGGGUAGUCCCUGUCUCUUAUAC